Molecule: small RNA, 34 nt
Filed under: Bombyx mori (domestic silkworm)
Lineage: Eukaryota; Metazoa; Arthropoda; Insecta; Lepidoptera; Bombycidae
Description: ovarian small RNA-14798
Source: RNAcentral
CUGAAAUCCGAUAUAUGUAGGCCGAAGCUCCCCA